UCCUUCUUUCUCCCCUCAUCCAUGUUCAUUAGCCCCAUUGACAAUGAAAUAAUAGGAGCAAGCAUAUCAUAAACUAAUUUCUAUAUAAAUUCAAUAGAUAAAAAUUAGUUAUAUAAAAAUAAAUUUAUAAAGUUAAUUUAAUUUAGAAAACUAUAAACUAAUUUUAAUUAUUUAUUAUAAAAAGUAAUAGAAUAAAAAAUUGCCUUAUUGAAUGAAUUGGAAUGCUAACCCGAUAUAAAACAAAAAUGAAAAAAUAGAUUAUGCAUUCAUUGCAUAAAGCAAUUUCUCAUAAUCAUACAAUCAUGAAUGAUAUAAAUGUAUAUGAUAAAUUUAUUUAUUUUAAUAAUGAUUAUCUACAUUAAAAAGCAACGUAAAAGUUUUUACAAUAAAAGUAUAUACUACACAACCACUGAACUCUUUUGAAAAGUUAUUAUCUUUAGUUUUCACGAAAACAUUAAGAUUAUUUUCUAAAAUUUUAUUUUAAAAAAAUACUAGUAUGUAAUUAUUAUUGUUAAUUAGAAAUAAACUUUAUCUUUAAGAAACACAAACUAUCGAGUCCAAAAUAGCAGUGUAUCUAGUCGUUGUACCAAUUUUUUUUUAAAAAAAAAUUAAAGAAAAAAUAUCCAAUAUAAGUUAGCGUUUUAAUUCUUGAAUAAUUAACGCAUUUCCAUCACACUUCCUUGUCGGCUAUAAGCUUUUCAAAGUUAAUAAUGUAUUUCGUGACCGUUUCUUUAUAGUUAAGAAAAAAUAAUUUGAAAAAAAAUAUUUUAAAUUUUUAUAUAUUUGAAAUAUACAUUUGAUCUUGAGUAUAAAUUUUAAUUUUAAAAUAUAAAGCAUUUAAGAAAUUGAUUAUUAAUAUAAAACAAAUAAACCUUUUUUUGGUGAAAGAUUGGAAAAAAAAAAACCCAUAAACGAUCAUUAAAAGUCACGUGAAAAUGCGGUAGAAAUUUUAUAAGCCAACAUAAGAUUUGAAAUAAAAUGAGGAACAAACUCAAAGAUUCUUAAUUGUCUAUCUAAGGAUAAACCAAAGUUUACAAGAUCAUCCGCAACUUGAUUCCCUUAUUGCAGCAGAACAUGAUUCCACAAUAAAGUACCACCCUUUAUGGAAUACUACUAACAAAAAACCUUUCAUUCAACAUUACAGGGUUUUAUCAACAAUUAACAACAAAUUUAAUAUAAAUUUUGAAACUUAUUUUUCUAAUAAUCAUGCAAGUGAUGCAACUUCCUACAUUGAUCAGAGGGAGAAAUAUAUAAAACAUUUCCAAAAAGUUAAUACAAAAGUUAUUAGUUACAUCUUUUUCUAAUAAUCAUGCAAGUGAUGCAAUUUUGACCCCAUGUGUAGUACAAGUUUGGCACAUGCUAUCAUUUAUUAUGGGAGCGUAGGCAUCUUCACCUACACGGAACGCAUGCUCUGAGAUCUAGUUCGCAACCACGCGGCCAACGAAAUCCAGUCCUCAGAUCCCUCCUCCGCCGCCUGUAAAAUGGAGCUCAAGAAGCAUGAUCAAAGCAUCACUACUAUAAUCAAAUUGCACAAAAGGACUCAAACCUUCUUUUAUUUUUCCUCCCGUGUGACUUGUGCCAACUACUCAGAUGGUCCCUUUAUUUUAUUAUGGAGGAAUGAAUUAAAAGCUUUUUGGGCUACUUAAAUUAACCUAUUUGGAUAUGAUAAUUUGAUUAUUGCAUUUCAGGGUAAUAAAAAAUGAUAAAAGAAAGUGUCAAGAAUAAAAAUGAAUGCCAUUGGUAGUCGGUGAAGAACACAGCCAAGCUAAUAAUCCAAGUUCAAUCAACCAACCAAUCUGUUAAACAUGCUAAAAUUAUGUAUUUAAUUAUAAUUUCUUGUUAGGAAAUAUAAGCACUAUUUUUCUCCUUAGACUCAAAAUAGGCAUUUAGCAGAAACAAAAAAAUAAAAAUAAAGAGUAGAAGAAUGAUACUAGAAUUCUUUAAGUUAAAAAUCCUUUCAAUGUAAAAGAUAAAAAUCACGUGAUCAAAUCACUAAAUAUUUCCACUAUUAAAAAGAGACUAUCUCUUAAUCUCACCCAACAAGAAUGAUUUAUAAUUCAUGUGAACUCUCACCAAGUAUAAUGAAAACUAUAACUCUAUUUCUCUCAAAGAAAAAUACUAAAACUUUCUUUCUUAUUUUGUUUCUCUUUCAAGGGAUGAAAUGAGAUAUUUUAAUUUUUCAUAACUCUAAUAUUUAAUUUUUUUUUAAGGAGAAUGCGUAAGUCUAAGAUCAAAGGAAUUAAUUUCAGAUCAUUGAAGAGACUUCACACUUUUCUAUAUAUGUCUUAGAAUGUGUGUUCUUCAAUAUUUAAAUUUAUAUGUUUACAUGAAUGUAAAUUAAUUUUAAUUAUGAAGGAAUUUCUAAUAUUUUCUAAUAAUAAAAAACAAGAAUUUUACCCUCUCCUUUUUGGUAAGAUUUUUCACUUCUAAUCAUAAUUUUUUUUAUCAAUUGAAAUCUGAUACAAGAUUCUUGUAUAAACAAUCACUAUCAUCACUGCAAUAAAAAAAAAAUAUUGAAAAAAUAACAUCCGCGUGACAAAAUAGUAAAGCGUGGGUCUCCGGACGAAGCUGCUUCCCAAUUUCCGCAACCUUUUACAUCGACAUUUAUUCUACAUCUAACAAACCCUUCAGAACCUUCUUCACUCUUUCUCUCUCUCUCUCUUUUCUUUCUAUAAAUCUAGCCACCACAACCCUUUUCAUUCUUCAUUCAUUAACUCUUUUUUGUUAUUAUUCAUCUUUUCUCUAACUCACCCAUGGCUCAAGAGAACAACGAUCCGCCCAGGGACGAGAAUUUUCGCAACGAGAAUUUUCGCGACGAGAAUUUUCGAGACGAGUCGAGACAGUCGUUGUCGUUUCGGUCGCCCAUGAGUCGCAUGUUGUCGUUCACGAGGAUGCUCGGCAGGGAACGUAAGGGGAACGUUUCACUGUCGUCAUGCGGGAGUGAUUGUAGCUGCGCCGCGGAGCAAGGUGAGCCAGAGGAGACUCAGUGAGUCCGUGACUCGGGUUUUGGCACGAACAUAAAUUAGAUGUACUUAUUCGUUGAUUUUUUUUUUCUUUUUCCUUAUUUGUUGUUUAUCUUCGGGUUCCAAUAAUAGUUAUAUUAUAGAAUACGAAAAUUGCCAAUUGGUUGGUCAUUGUAAUGCUUCAGUACAUAGAAAUAGAAGUGAAAACAAUUGUAAAGAAUAUCUGAUUUCCUAGUAACGGUGAUUUGUUUUUCUUUUCUCUUAAGGGGGUGUAUUGAAUUGGAAUUUUGAAAGAAUAUUUUGACAAAAACAAUCUUGAAGAUUUUAAAAGAUUAUGCGGGAUUGUAUUGAUUUUGUGGGAUUUUAAAAGAUUUUUUUUAAAAGACUUUUUACAAUCAGGAUUCUUAACCCAAGAUUUUAAUGGAUUUCUAAUACAGAUUUUUAAGAUUUCAAAGUACUUUAUGGAUUUUUAAGAUUUUGAAAGAUUAAUACAUUUUAAACAAAAAAAU
RNAcentral lists this long non-coding RNA (3472 nucleotides) under Glycine max (soybean). Its description in RNAcentral is "long non-coding RNA (GMAX_LNC003421)". The record is from RNAcentral. Lineage: Eukaryota; Viridiplantae; Streptophyta; Magnoliopsida; Fabales; Fabaceae.